ACUCCUACGGGAGGCAGCAGUGGGGAAUUGUUCGCAAUGGGCGCAAGCCUGACGACGCAACGCCGCGUGGGGGAUGAAGGCCUUCGGGUCGUAAACCCCUGUCAGGAGGGAAGAAGCCCGCAAGGGUGACGGUACCUCCAGAGGAAGCCCCGGCUAACUACGUGCCAGCAGCCGCGGUAAU
RNAcentral lists this ribosomal RNA (181 nucleotides) under uncultured Bacillota bacterium. RNAcentral describes it as "uncultured Firmicutes bacterium partial 16S ribosomal RNA". It matches the Rfam family "Bacterial small subunit ribosomal RNA", at positions 335 to 524 of the family's 1533-position model. The record is from RNAcentral. Lineage: Bacteria; Bacillati; Bacillota.